GUGGCUGUGGCGAAGUGGUUAACGCAUCGGAUUGUGAUUCCGACAUACGUGGGUUCAAUCCCCAUCAGCCACCCCA
Molecule: transfer RNA, 76 nt
Filed under: Oligoflexus sp.
Lineage: Bacteria; Pseudomonadati; Bdellovibrionota; Oligoflexia; Oligoflexales; Oligoflexaceae
Also listed under: 1 other name
Description: tRNA-His
Rfam family: tRNA
About the family: Transfer RNA (tRNA) molecules are approximately 80 nucleotides in length. Their secondary structure includes four short double-helical elements and three loops (D, anti-codon, and T loops).
Source: RNAcentral